Molecule: ribosomal RNA, 683 nt
Filed under: Xylosandrus amputatus
Lineage: Eukaryota; Metazoa; Arthropoda; Insecta; Coleoptera; Curculionidae
Description: partial 28S ribosomal RNA
Rfam family: Eukaryotic large subunit ribosomal RNA
Source: RNAcentral
UGAGAGUUAAAGAGUACGUGAAACCGUUUAGGGGUAAACCUGAGAAACCCGAAAGGUCGAAGGGAGAAAUUCAUUCGCGUUUCGACGUAGGCGUGGAACGGGGUCUCGAGCGACGGAACACGUUUUUCCGAAACGUGUUUCGCGCCCUUCGUUCUUCGAUCCGACGACGAACGCGUGCACUUUUCUCCUGGUAGGACGUCGCGAUCCGUCGGGUGUCGGUCUACGACUUGCGGUGGAGACCGUCCGUCGUCUCGUUACGUACGAACGGACCCGCUCGUUUUCCGACCGACUCGCUCGACGGUAUACCCUAAGGUCGGAGGUCGCUUCUUUUUCAAGAGCGUUCGACUCGUCGCAAGCGCGCCACGUGCGUCGACGCGCGGACCCGGUGCCGCGUUCGACCUCUGGUGACUGUUGGCGACGAUGUUCUCGAACAGACCUUUUUUUCUGUUUUUUUUUGUUUUCCUUUCGGGGAACGACGAAAAAACGAGAGAGAAAGAGAGACCGAUCGGCGACGCUAUAGCUUUGGGUAAUUUCAGGACCCGUCUUGAAACACGGACCAAGGAGUCUAGCAUGUACGCGAGUCAUUGGGAAUCUCUAAACCUAAAGGCGUAAUGAAAGUAAAGGUCUUCCUUUAGCGAAGACCGAGGGAAGACGGACGUUCCGUGUGUUUGUUUUGCGACGAC